Molecule: ribosomal RNA, 234 nt
Filed under: uncultured bacterium
Lineage: Bacteria
Description: partial 16S ribosomal RNA
Rfam family: Bacterial small subunit ribosomal RNA
Source: RNAcentral
CGAACGGGUGAGUAAUGCAUCGGAACGUGCCCAGUAGUGGGGGAUAACUAGUCGAAAGAUUAGCUAAUACCGCAUACGACCUACGGGUGAAAGCGGGGGACCUUUACCGGCCUCGCGCUAUCGGAGCGGCCGAUGUCUGAUUAGCUAGUUGGCGGGGUAAAAGCCCACCAAGGCAACGAUCAGUAGCUGGUCUGAGAGGACGACCAGCCACACUGGGACUGAGACACGGCCCAG